Cyprinus carpio carpio is the source of this 4323-nucleotide long non-coding RNA. The record is from Ensembl. Lineage: Eukaryota; Metazoa; Chordata; Actinopteri; Cypriniformes; Cyprinidae.
GUGAGCUUCAUGCCCCCCCCUUAGCAGCAGGCUCCAAUGUGGGUCAGAAACCUGUAAUAAAGCAAGGGAGGCUGGGCUCCGUUUGGCCAGUCGGCGUGUUUUUCCUGUGUCUUGAAAUGUCCAAAGCAGUGCGCUAAAUUAUUGGGGUCAGCGACUUUGCCUGCUCCCUUGAUUUGUUUGAAGACACACAAGGCCUGUUUGACAUUGAAAGACAUUUUUCUAACACAAGGGUCAUAAAUUCAUGAAGAAAAAAAGAAAACUUUACCGGAUCGACAACCACGAAGGCACCCGGUUGUGCAAUUGAACUUCUUUGAUAUCGAAGGAACAUUUAAUAACGGCAUUUAAACAUCUACCGUAAAAGUUUUACAGAUGUUCACCGGGGCAACACGGCGUGAUUUUUUAUUUUUUAAUUAUUUGCGUGUUAAGAGAGACAGCGGGGUAGCUUUAUAAGGUUAAAGGUGCAUUUAUUUAUUUCCUCUCUCUGCAAGGUGUCUACCUUCCUGGAUGUUAUUAAACAGACAUACUCUCCAUUACAGCAUUGCAGCUAAUCAGCUUAAUGAGGCAAAGAUUGCUGCAGUAAUCAGGCAUCAUUAGGCUUAUGAGUAUUUAUUAUCAACGGCAUGGAUGGAAAACAGAGGUGCCACUUCAUGAUAGCACACAAAGGAAGGGAUUGCACAAUCUGUUUAUUAAUCGCCUGCUGUCAGAGGGCCAGUACACUUCAGUGAUCCGGGUCAUUCUUCAACGCUACGACCUGGCACGGUUGAGAUAGAUCUACUCUCCUUGUUCUGACCUAUACGUUAUGCAUUUCAAAGCUGGCAAAGGAUGCAAAUAAAAGUUCAGGGUGUCACGUAGGGACCCAGAGGCGAGCUCAUUUAGAGUGGGUGUUUGUGUGUGCAAGCAUAAGUGUACAUAUGUAUGCGAGCGUGAGAGCCGAACUCUAUUUGCGUGUCCCUGUGAUGGAUUCCAACCGUGUCUCAUCAUGUUUGCCUUUAAGCUCAGUUUCAUGCUGUUUGGAACCAGUUUUGCCACAAGUCGAGAAUCGUACGCUUUCAUAGAAGUCUCCUUGAUGUUUUCUUGCUGUCUGUUUGCAAGCGAUGCUAUGCUUGUUAAAGAGGCGCAUUUUUCAUGUGCAUCAAAGUUUACUGCUGCAGCACGACAGAAGACCACCAGCGCUCGGCUCAGGAUUUACAAAAGCUUCAGUCUGGAUCCAGAACACCUAAGAAGAGAAGACCCCAACCCCUCAGAGGACCUCAGAGAACCCAGAAACAACAUACAGAACUACCAAAUUUUGCUAUAAGUUUGAUAGCAUCAUAUAAUAAUUGAUGUUAAUAGUGUUCAUUGUCUGUUUGAUUAGAUCUUUAAUUGAUUUUUUCCAUACAUUUCUUCCAUAAGUCCAUCAACUGACAGUCACCACUGACUACUACUAAAUAAUGUAGAAACUUAAUUUUCUGGAAAGUUGCUUUGCAAUGAUUUGUAUCAUGAAAAGCGCUAUACAAAUAAUCUUGAAUUGUACUGAACUGAAUUGAAUCCAAAAUGUAGAUGAGUUUGUUUCUUCAUCAGAACAGAUUUGGCGAAAUGUAGCAUUAUCACUUUCCGUAAGUAUGAGAGUCCAGCACAACAGAUAAAAUCAUCACAUUAAUUCACAAGUAAUCCAUACCAUUCCAGUCCAUCAAUUAAUGGCUUGGGAAGCAGAUAAAUGUGUUUGUAAGAAACAAAUCCACCAUCAGGAUGUUUUAACUUAAAACUAUUGCUUUCAACUAAAAUACAAGGAAUAGUUCAAAGGGACUAUUUUAAUUCCUUACUACGUUUCUGGGCCUUGAACGUGAUAGUUCCCUUGCUGUCUAUGCAGGGUCAUAAUGCCCUCGGAUUUCAUCACAAAUAUCUUAAUGUAUGUUCCAAAGCUGAACAAAAUUCUUACGGGUUUGGAACAACAUGAGGGUGAGUAAUUAAUGACAGAAUUGUCAUUUUUUGGUGAACUGUCCCUUUAAGAAAGUCGCCAUUAUGAAUUAUGGACACAUACUGUAUUUUUGGAAUGUUUGAAGUUAGAACACCUAAUGAUUUGUUUGUUACAAAUAUGCAGCUUUUCACUUCACAAGUUAUUAAUUGAUGGACUGGAUUGGUGGGGAUUACAUGUGGAUUAUUGUGAUGUUUUAUCAGCUGUUUAGACUUUCAUUCUGAUGGCACCCUUUCGCUGCAGAGCAUCCAGUGGUGAACAUGCGAUGUAAUGCUGUAUUUCUUCAGAUCAGAUUUUUGUGUUUUUUGGUUGAACUAUUCCUUUAACUAAUGUUGGUGCUUGACAAUGAAUACACAACAAUGACACUACAUAAAAGCCAAAAUAAUCCAAACAAAUAGGUGAAGAAAUUCAUAAUAGAGGACAUGUGUAAAUUACAAAACUGCACAUUGUUGUCAAUCUCUACAUGGACUUGAUAUGGCAACAAGUAAACAAAUGAAGUUUCUUAUUCCAGUGUGGGUGGAACGUUUUAAGCUUUGUUGUGAUACAACUAGCCCAUGUUAUUUCAUAUCCAAAUCUAAUGCUACAUUUUAACAGCAACAGUAAUAUCUGCCAAAAUAGGCCAAAGGAAUUAAAGUAGUUUGGAUCUAACUUUUAGUUCAACCUUUAGAACUGUAGAAACCUCCUAAUGUUUGUUUUCCAUGCCUUGUCCAGCAAAUUGAAUCAAUACAUAAACUAUGAUACAGCACAUCAUAUUUUUGUCAUCAUCAUUUUGCUGACACCUGCUAUCAUGGGAGGUGAAUGAGCCAGCAAAUUAGGUGCCACAUUGGACCACAUUUUGUUAUUAGAGAUGUCAGUAUUGCAAAGCUGACAGGUUGCUUCAAACUGUCAGCUUUUUGAGUGUCACAGUGGAAUAUCUGAAAGUGCUCACCUUACACUGGACAGAAAUAUAUAAAAAAAAAAGAUUUGUGUGCGAAGCUCAGUAUGAUUGAUUGACUCACUAAUGAAGGUACUUACUUGUCGCCAUAUACUAUCGAUGUAAUAUGCAGAAAGAGUCACUGAGUUUCAGGAAUGAACUUACUAUUGAAUAGCUGACAUUUCAAAUAAACAGCCUAUCUAUCUAUCUAUCUAUCUAUCUAUCUAUCUAUCUAUCUAUCUAUCUAUCUAUCUAUCUAUCUAUCUAUGUAUCUAUCUAUCUAUCUAUCUAUCUAUCUAUCUAUCUAUCUAUCUAUCUAUCUAUCUAUCUAUCUAUCUAUCCAUCCAAAUAUUUGAAAUGCAUUGCUUAAUGCUGCAUAGUUUGGGAAUAAAAAAUGCUGCAUUGUCUGAUUGUCCGUCCGUCUGUCCCAAAUCUGUCAAUUUAUCAUACAAAAAACUUGUUUUUCUUACCAUAUUCAAACACACAAGAAUUUCAAUUAAUUAGAAUUUUACUUUCUUACAUAUAAUUUGAAUUGCAAUUCUGCAUCCUGUUUGCUGUGUCAAGUCCAAUUCAGGAAGUGAAAUGGUAUUUAAAAGAUACUCUCAAUUCAUUUCUAAAUGGUGUCCAACCCUGACUUGAACCAGCCUUGAACAUACCAAACUGGUUUUCAUAAAACUUAGAACAUUCAUAAUACCUAUUUUCUAUGAAAAGACACAUGUAUUUUUGAUAUAAAACACCUUAUAUGUGAUUGCGCCAGUCUUAAUGCCAGUCUCCAACAAAAGCUAUAUGCUAUAAGCUGUCAACUUUCAAAAAGAAGAAUGUCUGAAACACAUGCGUAGGACAUCGAGGCUGAGGUUUUAUAACGAAAAACAUCCAUCAGAAGGACACGCUAAAAUACAGUAUAUCUUCUCCCAUAUUCAUUUCAUCCAGACCUUGUCCACUUUUCUUCAUAACACAGAUAAUACUGUUACUCAGUCAGUGCCGUCCCUCAAACUCUUUUAACUACUGGCAGAAUCAUCCACAAUCAAUUUCUACUUUACAUUAAGCCAUAAUUUAACAGUGAUGUUAAACCAGGAUUGAUCGGUUCCAACAAAACUCAGAAUCCCAGCUAAAGUGGAUGUGUGAUAAGCAUGUGCAGCGAGGUGGAGGUCGUCACUACAUUCAUUGGAACUCUUCAGAAGGGGAAAAAAGAGCGGAGGCCUCUCUCUAGUGUGCCGGCGAAGCGCUCCGCCAUACAUCAUGAAAAACAAGAUGAGUUAAGCACACAGCCACACAGUGUUUCUUGGACAACUGGGAUUGGAAACAAGUUGUGAUUUAUUGGCUGCUAGACACACAGUGCCUUUGACCCAUUUAGACAAAGGAUUUGUUUAUCUUAUCACUGUACAAUAUAUUUUUAUUUAUUUAUUUCCCAACUUACUUUGUCUCACUCUAGUGGGUUACAUGUUUUCAUGUUAAU